CCUUUCUCUGAAUGCCCCAAUGACCGUAUAUGGAGUGUAUAGUAGUAGACGACUAGCUCUGGACCAUGCGUUGGAUGUACGUGCAGCUUGCAUGUGCGUGGACCAGGUUGAUAACAAAUUUAGCCAAUCUUUUCUAACAGACUCUCUUGCCUGAGAACUAUGACCACACUUUGUGCUCAUACCAACCACUGGGAGAAACACAGUUCAGAUCCUCGCUGAAGUUGAAACUGUGCUCUGAGGAAGAGAACAACCCCAACCACAGUCUGACAAGUGCUGAGGGACUGAAGAGGAGAGAUGUCAGCGGACACCAUUGAGAAAUUGACAAAGCUGUUUGAAAUAGACCACUCUCCUUCAUCAGCUCUAAAAACGAUCAAAUAUGAGGUGGAUGUGCAUGCCUCUGUGGAUCGCUCCAUUUGCCCCGACCUUCAAUUCUGCUACAAAUUGUACCGCAAGCUUUUCAAGGAAGCAUGUGUUGCAUCGUAUGUGGAGAAGAAGAUUGAUGAUUCUAACGAGCAUCUGGAUAACUGCAAUGAAGAAUGUUCACAAUUUCGCAACAUUAUCCCUGACAGGCAAUAUAGAAGACUUAACAAUCUGGCUGUCUGAUGGUUGUAGUUCUCUCCUCCUACAAUAGACCGUGGCAAUGCGUCUGAGGACACCGUUGAAAUUGAGCGUGCUCCCGUUUCUGAUGUUAACGGCUCAGGUACAUCUGGAAAACUAGCUGAGGGGGUGACGUUAGAGGAAGAGUGGAUGGACAUCUUUGAAGACCUCAAAAAGAGGAUGAGGGAGGAUCCUGUGAGUUUCAGGCCUGCAGUAGCAUCCUUCGUUUCCAGCUUAAAGAAGAUGAAAACAGACAGUGAACUCAUAGCCGCACUACCAAACUUUGGCAUAACCAACCCUGGACCAACAGCAAAGUUUUACCGGGGACGGGCACGCCCCACAGAGAGCUCCGUAGGAGAGCAUGGACAUGGCACAUGCAGCUGGAAGAGGAAGGCACCCCAUUGAAUGUCUCAGUGUGUGGAAUAACACAUGGACAUUGGGAGUACUACACACAAAAAAGCAAGUCAACAUCAGUGGCCCCCUGUGCCCAUCAUCCACCUGCUCACCAUCUGUGACCUCCAGUGCACUAGCGCUCUGCCUACCGGCUCUAGGUCUCCUCCGCCUUGAACAAAACCAGGGACUAUUUCAAUGCAUUGUGGCCUCUCCAACACCAGAACCAGUGGCUAUUUCAAUAUUGCAUUCUUGCCUUUUUGUUUUACGUUAAUUCAAUGGAAGACGUUUCUGCAAUUUCAUAUCUUUUUAAAAUUGAUUCCAUGUUGAAGGACCAUCAGAUUUUAAAAAGCUGUUCUGCUAACCCAGUUGCAGGCCUAUACUAUCACUGAACCAAAGCAGUAGUUGUCUUGACUUAUAUCUCAAAUUGUAUUGGUCACAUACACAUGGUUAGCAGAUGUUAAUGCGAGUGUAGUGAAAUGCUUGUGCAUAUACUGGUAUAUGUUGUGCAUCAAGUUGUGUCCUUUUUAUGUUGAACAAAUGCAAGACUACAAUUUUAAUGAUGGGUUGUAAGACACAUAAUUAAGUGUUUAUUUGUACAUUAAAAAAAAAUAUCCAGAGGGGAACCUGC
Molecule: long non-coding RNA, 1618 nt
Filed under: Salmo salar (Atlantic salmon)
Lineage: Eukaryota; Metazoa; Chordata; Actinopteri; Salmoniformes; Salmonidae
Description: lncRNA (ENSSSAG00000122099.1)
Source: RNAcentral